This 204-nucleotide ribosomal RNA is filed under the name uncultured bacterium. RNAcentral describes it as "partial 16S ribosomal RNA". It matches the Rfam family "Bacterial small subunit ribosomal RNA", at positions 524 to 727 of the family's 1533-position model. The record is from RNAcentral.
UACGAAGGGGGCUAGCGUUGCUCGGAUUGACUGGGCGUAAAGGGCGCGUAGGCGGUUCGUACAGUCAGACGUGAAAUUCCUGGGCUCAACCUGGGGGCUGCGUUUGAUACGUGCGGACUUGAGUGCGGAAGAGGGUCGUGGAAUUCCCAGUGUAGAGGUGAAAUUCGUAGAUAUGGUGAAGAACACCGGUGGCGAAGGCGGCGA